CGCGGCAGACGGCUCAGGACAACGGUUGCACCCCCCGCGGCGGUCCCUGCUAGCCGGACACCGCUGGCAACCCGGCGCCAAGACGUGCGCGCAAGGGCGGGCGCCCGCGGGCGAGCAGCGUGACGCAGA
RNAcentral lists this ribosomal RNA (129 nucleotides) under Giardia duodenalis. RNAcentral describes it as "Giardia intestinalis partial small subunit ribosomal RNA". The record is from RNAcentral. Lineage: Eukaryota; Fornicata; Diplomonadida; Hexamitidae.